RNAcentral lists this long non-coding RNA (455 nucleotides) under Androctonus crassicauda. The record is from RNAcentral. Lineage: Eukaryota; Metazoa; Arthropoda; Arachnida; Scorpiones; Buthidae.
UAUUUUUAGAUGAAAUCAAAAAUACAAUAGAAAAUGAAUUAUAUAUUUUAUUUAAUAUUAAAAUUCUCACUUUUUGGAGUCCCUGAAAAUUAAGCUGUCUAAGCACACACUUAAUGGUAAACAUGUUUUAGAUAACCAAUAGUAUACAGUACAGUAAAUUCCCAUAUCAUGCACUCUCCUAUAACACAAAUUCAUAUAAUGCUAGUCCAAACCUACUUGCUGUUCAUUUCAAUUUCUGCUAAAAUAGCACUAAAAGCAAGUAACAUACAUCAAAGAUUUAUUCAGUAUAAUGUUUUUGGACUCUCAUUUGUCCCUCCUCAGUACAUAUACAAAUUAAUCUUAACAGAAUACGUACAAAAUUCUUAUGCGCUGUUGUUACAUGUUCUUUAGAACAUUUCAAACAUUUAAACUAAAGCUUCGGAACUGUCAAAGUCCUAUGUUGAGAGGGUACACUU